RNAcentral lists this non-coding RNA (408 nucleotides) under Stenotrophomonas terrae. Its description in RNAcentral is "cspA thermoregulator". It matches the Rfam family "cspA thermoregulator", at positions 89 to 428 of the family's 428-position model. Lineage: Bacteria; Pseudomonadati; Pseudomonadota; Gammaproteobacteria; Lysobacterales; Lysobacteraceae. The record is from Rfam by way of RNAcentral.
CGCUGAGCUUGGCAAGGUCACCGUGAAUCGUGGCCUGAUGGGUAGAUCGAAGGAUUUGCUACAUCGUUGCACCUCGCUUCCUCCUUGCAACCAGCCGCCUUACCGGGCGUAACCAUCAAACGAGAGAGUUACAGGGAGUUGUCGAGAUGUCUGAUCGCGAAACCGGUACCGUCAAGUGGUUCAACGACGCCAAGGGCUUCGGCUUCAUCAGCCGUGAAAAUGGUGAGGACGUGUUCGUGCACUUCCGCGCCAUCCAGACCCAGGGCUUCAAAAGUCUGAAGGAAGGCCAGCAGGUCACCUUCACCGUCGUGCAGGGCCAGAAGGGCCUGCAGGCUGACGCCGUACAACCGGUCUGACCCGGCCGGCCGUCCAGCCAAAAAAAGGCCCGCGCAAGCGGGCCUUUUUUCA